AAACCAGCUGCCCUUUCCCUGGAACAAAGCCGUAAAGUUUACGGAUUCGGUUUUGAUCAGAGAUACCGAAAUGUCAGAGUCAAUAGUGCACAACUGUAUUGCAACAGCGUCGUUGGGCUUUUAUUUACAACUCAGACAAGGUUUCCAGUGAAUACCACUUGCAUUUCUGUACAAAAUGAGGCUCCUGUUUGCCUUCAAAGCAGUUUCAAGACAAAUGAUGGACUGUGCCAGUCUUUAAGCUACUGUCAGAUAACUGUAAACACUGAGGGACAUAAGGGACGUGUUUCUAAUAUACUGUAUGCCAAUUUGACUUUCUUCAUCUCCCAAGGACAGACAACCACCUGCUGAAAAAAUCCUAUCUUAUGCACAUGUUUAUGGACACCUGGACUCGGGAGACAAGCCUGAUUGAUGGCUGAGAGCUCUGAGGAAAAAGCUGCCCUACCCACAGACACGCCUCUGGAUCCAUUUAUCACAAUCACUCACAGAAAGAUGGAGGCAUCGGCAAAAAAAAAAAAAGUGAGAUGGUGCUCUACGGACAAAGCUGCGACCGGUCAGCAGGCGUGCAUCACGGAGGGAGACUGGGAGAUAAUUGGACAGUUGGUGGGAGAGAACACUCCACCGGAGAGACAGUUUGGACAGGGAACACGGAUGGACAGAUGGAUGGAGAGGAAAAAUAGCAGAAGAAGAGUAUCAGAAGUGCAGGAAGACUGCCCCGUCACUCCUAGGAGUCUCUGUUAUUUCAGACACCAACACUGCAACGGAACAACAAAAGAUCCCUCCCAUUCUACUGAAUGAAGCUGUCUACACUAUAAGCACCGUGACAUCUUUAGAGAACUGCUGUAACACUCGUGGAUCUGAGACCAGGGUUUUAUUUAGCACAAGAUCAGUGAUGGACGGACAGACUCCAGCGAGACAGAUGGGCAGAUGUGGCUUCACAGCA
Molecule: long non-coding RNA, 940 nt
Organism: Cyprinus carpio (common carp)
Lineage: Eukaryota; Metazoa; Chordata; Actinopteri; Cypriniformes; Cyprinidae
Source: Ensembl